CGAAAAGGAAGGGAAAGAAGCCGUCCUGAUGUCAACUGGCAAAUGACAAAACCAGCCCAGCAAUAAGGAAACUUGCAAAGAAAAACAGCAAAGAUGCCACCCUGGCAAACAGCGCAUCCUUCAGUCCUCCAAAAUGCCAGCAAAGAUGUUCUCUUCAGCAGAGGUCUCCAUAUGGGAAAUAUUAGAAGAAUUGUCACUUAGUAAACUCUCUAUUAUUGAGAAAGGACACAAAAUAAACUGUUUCAUCUGCCUUUCAAGCCAACAUCUCCAGAAGCAAUUCUAUGAAGACUUUUUUACAUUUAGAGAUUACCAGUGAAUAGCUAAUUGACUUAAUCAUCCUAAACUGCCCCUCCCUAAAUAAGAGCUCUUGGAGGCACUGUUUCCUAAAGAAAAUAAGGGAGAAAAGCCAAGAAAAACAAGAUGUUUCUAUUCUCAGAAUUUAAUUUCCUACAGCGAUACACAGUGAUAUGGUGGAGGAUGACACACAAGUGAUAGAAGGAUUAUCAGCAAGUUGUGAAGCUAUGAAAACUACUCAGAUUCAAAAAUGAAUGUUAUCUACAUUCAAAGCAAUUCAUAAGGGAAGCUGGGAAGCAGUGGAACAAUGUAUUUGGUAACUUAUGAAAGGAUUUCCA
RNAcentral lists this long non-coding RNA (632 nucleotides) under Gallus gallus (chicken). Lineage: Eukaryota; Metazoa; Chordata; Aves; Galliformes; Phasianidae. The record is from RNAcentral.